Molecule: ribosomal RNA, 250 nt
Filed under: uncultured bacterium
Lineage: Bacteria
Description: partial 16S ribosomal RNA
Rfam family: Bacterial small subunit ribosomal RNA
Source: RNAcentral
UACGAAGGGGGCAAGCGUUGUUCGGAUUUACUGGGCGUAAAGGGCGCGCAGGCGGCUGUUCAAGUCGGGUGUGAAAGCCCCGGGCUCAACCUGGGAACUGCACUCGAGACUGGACGGCUGGAGUUCGGGAGAGGAUGGUGGAAUUCCCAGUGUAGAGGUGAAAUUCGUAGAUAUUGGGAAGAACACCGGUGGCGAAGGCGGCCAUCUGGACCGACACUGACGCUGAGGCGCGAAAGCGUGGGGAGCAAAC